GGAGCCGGUCAUUUGAGUAUGGAGAGACGACGGCUUGAGAUGAACUCAAGAACUUGCUCUUUGAAAGCGGCAAUGUCAAGAAAUUGAAGGCACUAUUUGGCUCACCCAUGAGAAGCGCAAAAUAUAAUACAUGGAGGUAUUAGGCUGUUUACUGAAAUAUCACCACACUGCAGUACCAGUGGAUUCCGACAAAUCUUGCAGGUUCAGGCGA
Lolium rigidum is the source of this 211-nucleotide long non-coding RNA. RefSeq lists it as uncharacterized. The transcript is spliced from 3 exons. Lineage: Eukaryota; Viridiplantae; Streptophyta; Magnoliopsida; Poales; Poaceae. The record is from RefSeq and is a predicted model, not a curated record.